RNAcentral lists this ribosomal RNA (254 nucleotides) under uncultured bacterium. RNAcentral's name for it is "partial 16S ribosomal RNA". It matches the Rfam family "Bacterial small subunit ribosomal RNA", at positions 524 to 777 of the family's 1533-position model. The record is from RNAcentral.
UACAGAGGGGGCAAGCGUUGUUCGGAAUUACUGGGCGUAAAGCGCACGUAGGCGGCUUUCUAAGUCGGGGGUGAAAUCCUGGAGCUCAACUCCAGAACUGCCUUCGAUACUGGAGAGCUCGAGUCCGGGAGAGGUGAGUGGAACUGCGAGUGUAGAGGUGAAAUUCGUAGAUAUUCGCAAGAACACCAGUGGCGAAGGCGGCUCACUGGCCCGGUACUGACGCUGAGGUGCGAAAGCGUGGGGAGCAAACAGGG